This 497-nucleotide ribosomal RNA is filed under the name uncultured bacterium. RNAcentral describes it as "partial 16S ribosomal RNA". It matches the Rfam family "Bacterial small subunit ribosomal RNA", at positions 28 to 507 of the family's 1533-position model. The record is from RNAcentral.
GAUGAACGCUGGCGGCGUGCCUAAUACAUGCAAGUCGAGCGAACGGACGAGAAGCUUGCUUCUCUGAUGUUAGCGGCGGACGGGUGAGUAACACGUGGAUAACCUACCUAUAAGACUGGGAUAACUUCGGGAAACCGGAGCUAAUACCGGAUAAUAUUUUGAACCGCAUGGUUCAAAAGUGAAAGACGGUCUUGCUGUCACUUAUAGAUGGAUCCGCGCUGCAUUAGCUAGUUGGUAAGGUAACGGCUUACCAAGGCAACGAUGCAUAGCCGACCUGAGAGGGUGAUCGGCCACACUGGAACUGAGACACGGUCCAGACUCCUACGGGAGGCAGCAGUAGGGAAUCUUCCGCAAAGGGCGAAAGCCUGACGGAGCAACGCCGCGUGAGUGAUGAAGGUCUUCGGAUCGUAAAACUCUGUUAUUAUGGAAGAACAUAUGUGUAAGUAACUGUGCACAUCUUGACGGUACCUAAUCAGAAAGCCACGGCUAACUACGUG